GACGAACCGUGCAAACGUUGUUCGGAAUCACUGGGCUUAAAGGGCGCGUAGGCGGGCAAGCAAGUCCGGGGUGAAAUCUUUCGGCUCAACCGGAAAAGUGCCUUGGAUACUGCUUGUCUGGAGGGAGGUAGGGGCAUGCGGAACUUCUGGUGGAGCGGUGAAAUGCGUUGAUAUCAGAAGGAACGCCGGUGGCGAAAGCGGCGUGCUGGACCUCUUCUGACGCUGAUGCGCGAAAGCUAGGGGAGCAAACGGG
RNAcentral lists this ribosomal RNA (253 nucleotides) under uncultured bacterium. RNAcentral's name for it is "partial 16S ribosomal RNA". It matches the Rfam family "Bacterial small subunit ribosomal RNA", at positions 524 to 776 of the family's 1533-position model. The record is from RNAcentral.